Molecule: ribosomal RNA, 369 nt
Filed under: uncultured organism
Description: bacterial SSU rRNA
Rfam family: Bacterial small subunit ribosomal RNA
Source: RNAcentral
CGAAGGGGGCUAGCGUUGUUCGGAAUUACUGGGCGUAAAGCGUAGGUAGGCGGUUUUCCAAGUCAAGGGUGAAAUCCCGAGGCUCAACCUCGGAAUUGCCUUUGAAACUGGAUUACUGGAGAAAGUUAGAGGCAAGUGGAAUUCCUAGUGUAGGAGUGAAAUCCGUAGAUAUUAGGAGGAACAUCGAUGGCGAAGGCAGCUUGCUGGGACUUUUCUGACGCUGAGCUACGAAAGCGUGGGUAGCAAACAGGAUUAGAUACCCUGGUAGUCCACGCCCUAAACGAUGGAUGCUAGACGUCGGGCCCUUGAGGUUCGGUGUCGUAGCUAACGCGUUAAGCAUCCCGCCUGGGGAGUACGGUCGCAAGAUUA